Molecule: ribosomal RNA, 468 nt
Filed under: uncultured bacterium
Lineage: Bacteria
Description: partial 16S ribosomal RNA
Rfam family: Bacterial small subunit ribosomal RNA
Source: RNAcentral
GACGAACGCUGGCGGCGUGCUUAACACAUGCAAGUCGAACGGAAAGGCCCUGCUUUUGUUGGGUGCUCGAGUGGCGAACGGGUGAGUAUCACGCGAGUAACCUGCCCUUGACUUUGGGAUAACUUCAGGAAACUGGGGCUAAUACCGGAUAGGAGCUCCUGCUGCAUGGUGGUGGUUGGAAAGUUUCGGCGGUUGGGGAUGGACUCGCGGCUUAUCAGCUUGUUGGUGGGGUAGUGGCUUACCAAGGCUGUGACGGGUAGCCGGCCUGAGAGGGGGACCGGCCACAUUGGGACUGAGAUAGGGACCAGACGGCUACGGGAGGCAGCAGGCGGGAGUAUGACACAAUGGGCGGAAGCCUGAGGCAGCAACGCCGCGUGCGGAAUGACGGCCUUUGGGGUGUAAACCGCUGUCGCCGGUGACGAAGCGUGAGUGACGGUAAUGAGUAAAGAAGCACCGGCUAACUACGUG